RNAcentral lists this unclassified non-coding RNA (314 nucleotides) under plant metagenome. RNAcentral's name for it is "partial contains 5.8S ribosomal RNA, internal transcribed spacer 2, and large subunit ribosomal RNA". The stretch from base 1 to 105 matches the Rfam family "5.8S ribosomal RNA", at positions 50 to 154 of the family's 154-position model. The record is from RNAcentral.
GAAAUGCGAUAAUUAAUGUGAAUUGCAGAAUUCAGUGAAUCAUCGAGUCUUUGAACGCACAUUGCGCCCCCUGGUAUUCCGGGGGGCAUGCCUGUCCGAGCGUCAUUGCUGCCCUCAAGCACGGCUUGUGUGUUGGGCUUCCGUCCCUGGCAACGGGGACGGGCCCAAAAGGCAGUGGCGGCACCAUGUCUGGUCCUCGAGCGUAUGGGGCUUUGUCACCCGCUCCCGUAGGUCCGGCUGGCAGCUAGCCUCGCAACCAAUCUUUUUAACCAGGUUGACCUCGGAUCAGGUAGGGAUACCCGCUGAACUUAAGC